Molecule: ribosomal RNA, 324 nt
Filed under: Alkalibacillus almallahensis
Lineage: Bacteria; Bacillati; Bacillota; Bacilli; Caryophanales; Bacillaceae
Description: partial 16S ribosomal RNA
Rfam family: Bacterial small subunit ribosomal RNA
Source: RNAcentral
CUGGUCUGUACUGACCUGAGGCGCGAAAGCUGGGUAGCGAACAGGAUUAGAUACCCUGGUAGUCCAUGCCGUAAACGAUGAGUGCUAGGUGUUAGGGGGUCCGACCCUUAUGGGGGCCAUUAACGCAAUAAACACUCCCCCUGGGGAGUACGGGCGCAAGGGUGAAACUCAAAAGAAUUGACGGGGGCCCGCCCAAACGGGGGAACAUGGGGUUUAAUUUCACGCAACGCGAAAAAACUUACCAGGCCUUGACCUCUUCGGACACCCCAAGAGAUUGGGUCGUCCCUUCGGGGACCGAAUGACAGGUGGUGCAUGGUUGGCGUC